RNAcentral lists this ribosomal RNA (662 nucleotides) under uncultured Iamia sp. RNAcentral describes it as "bacterial SSU rRNA". It matches the Rfam family "Bacterial small subunit ribosomal RNA", at positions 224 to 904 of the family's 1533-position model. The record is from RNAcentral. Lineage: Bacteria; Bacillati; Actinomycetota; Acidimicrobiia; Acidimicrobiales; Iamiaceae.
CCAGAUCUCGCGGCCUAUCAGCUUGUUGGUGGGGUAACGGCCUACCAAGGCAACGACGGGUAGCUGGUCUGAGAGGACGAUCAGCCACACUGGGACUGAGACGCGGCCCAGACUCCUACGGGAGGCAGCAGUGGGGAAUUUUGCGCAAUGGGCGAAAGCCUGACGCAGCAACGCCGCGUGCGGGAAGAAGGCCCUCGGGUUGUAAACCGCUUUCGGCAGGAACGAAAUUGACGGUACCUGCAGAAGAAGCCCCGGCCAACUACGUGCCAGCAGCCGCGGUAAUACGUAGGGGGCGAGCGUUGUCCGGAUUCAUUGGGUGUAAAGAGCUCGUAGGCGGUUCGGUAAGUCAGGUGUGAAAACUCCAGGCUCAACUUGGAGACGCCACCUGAUACUGUCGUGACUAGAGUCCGGUAGGGGAGCAUGGAAUUCCUGGUGUAGCGGUGAAAUGCGCAGAUAUCAGGAGGAACACCAGCGGCGAAGGCGGUGCUCUGGGCCGGAACUGACGCUGAGGAGCGAGAGCGUGGGGAGCGAACAGGAUUAGAUACCCUGGUAGUCCACGCCGUAAACGUUGGGCACUAGGUGUGGGGCUCUGUCAACGAGUUCCAUGCCGUCGCUAACGCAUUAAGUGCCCCGCCUGGGGAGUACGGAAGCUUGGAAUUCGC